GAUGAACGCUAGCGGCAGGCUUAAUACAUGCAAGUCGAACGGUAAGUUUGGUAGCAAUAUCAAACCAAGAGUGACGUACGGGUGCGUAACACGUAUGCAACCUACCUUGCACAGGAGUAUAGCUCGGGGAAACUCGAAUUAACCCUCCAUGAGAUCACAGUGUGGCAUCACACAGUGAUUAAAACUCAGGUGGUACAAGAUGGGCAUGCGUCUGAUUAGUUAGUUGGCGGGGUAAUGGCCCACCAAGACGAUGAUCAGUAGGGGACCUGAGAGGGUGAUCCCCCAC
RNAcentral lists this ribosomal RNA (286 nucleotides) under uncultured bacterium. RNAcentral's name for it is "partial 16S ribosomal RNA". It matches the Rfam family "Bacterial small subunit ribosomal RNA", at positions 28 to 311 of the family's 1533-position model. The record is from RNAcentral.